GUGAGGAAUAUUGGUCAAUGGACGAGAGUCUGAACCAGCCAAGUCGCGUGAAGGAAGACGGUUCUAUGAAUUGUAAACUUCUUUUGUGCAGGAAUAAAGUGGGUUACGUGUAACCUUUUGUAUGUACUGUACGAAUAAGGAUCGGCUAACUCCGUGCCAGCAGCCGCGGUAAUACGGAGGAUCCGAGCGUUAUCCGGAUUUAUUGGGUUUAAAGGGUGCGUAGGUGGAUUGAUAAGUCAGCGGUGAAAGUUUGCAGCUUAAGUGUAAAAUUGCCGUUGAAACUGUCGGUCUUGAGUGCAAAUGAGGUAGGCGGAAUGUGUUGUGUAGCGGUGAAAUGCUUAGAUAUAACACAGAACUCCGAUUGCGAAGGCAGCUUACUGGGAUGCAACUGACACUGAUGCACGAAAGCGUGGGUAUCAAACAGGAUUAGAAACCCCUGUAGUCC
RNAcentral lists this ribosomal RNA (445 nucleotides) under uncultured bacterium. RNAcentral describes it as "partial 16S ribosomal RNA". It matches the Rfam family "Bacterial small subunit ribosomal RNA", at positions 354 to 796 of the family's 1533-position model. The record is from RNAcentral.